Molecule: ribosomal RNA, 977 nt
Filed under: Amanita betulae
Lineage: Eukaryota; Fungi; Basidiomycota; Agaricomycetes; Agaricales; Amanitaceae
Description: partial 28S ribosomal RNA
Rfam family: Eukaryotic large subunit ribosomal RNA
Source: RNAcentral
UUUGACCUCAAAUCAGGUAGGACUACCCGCUGAACUUAAGCAUAUCAAUAAGCGGAGGAAAAGAAACUAACAAGGAUUCCCCUAGUAACUGCGAGUGAAGCGGGAAAAGCUCAAAUUUGAAAUCUGGCAGUCUUUUUUUUCUUCUUUGGCUGUCCGAGUUGUAAUCUAGAGAAGUGCUUACCUGCACUGGACCAUGUAUAAGUCUCCUGGAAUGGAGCCUCACAGAGGGUGAGAAUCCCGUCUUUGACAUGGACUGCCAGUGUGUUGUGGUGUGCUCUCAAAGAGUCGAGUUGUUUGGGAAUGCAGCUCUAAAUGGGUGGUAAACUCCAUCUAAAGCUAAAUAUUGGCGAGAGACCGAUAGUGAACAAGUACCGUGAGGGAAAGAUGAAAAGGACUUUGGAAAGAGAGUUAAACAGUAUGUGAAAUUGUUGAAAGGGAAACGCUUGAAGUCAGUUAUGUUGGCUAGGGAUCAACCUAGCUAUUUUUUUGCUGGGUGAAUUUCCUAGUCUUACAGGCCAACAUCAGUCUUGACUGCUGGAAAAGAGCAGGGGGAAUGUGGCACCUUUGGGUGUGUUAUAGCCCUUUGUCAUAUGUGGCAGUUGGGACUGAGGGAUGCAGCAUGCCGUGAGGCUGGGUUUUUGACCACGUUUCAUGCUUAGGAUGUUGGCUUUUAAUGGCUUCAAUCGACCCGUCUUGAAACACGGACCAAGGAGUCUAACAUGCCUGCGAGUGUUUGGGUGGUGAAAACCCUUGUGCACAAUGAAAGUGAAAGUUGAGAUCCCUGUCAUGGGGAGCAUCGACGCCCGGACCUGAGCUUUUAGCGACGGAUCUGCGGUAGAGCAUGCAUGUUGGGACCCGAAAGAUGGUGAACUAUGCCUGAAUAGGGCAAAGCCAGAGGAAACUCUGGUGGAGGCUCGUAGCGAUUCUGACGUGCAAAUCGAUCGUCAAAUUUGGGUAUAGGGGCGAAAGACUAAUCG